RNAcentral lists this ribosomal RNA (834 nucleotides) under uncultured Pseudomonadota bacterium. RNAcentral describes it as "bacterial SSU rRNA". It matches the Rfam family "Bacterial small subunit ribosomal RNA", at positions 56 to 867 of the family's 1533-position model. The record is from RNAcentral. Lineage: Bacteria; Pseudomonadati; Pseudomonadota.
UGCAAGUCGAACGCGAAAGUCCCGCAAGGGAUUAGUAGAGUGGCAAACGGGUGAGUAACACGUGGGUGACCUGCCUUAGAGUGGGGGAUAACGUCCCGAAAGGGACGCUAAUACCGCAUAACAUCCUGCCUUUUAAGAGGUGGAAAUCAAAGCCUGGGACCGCAAGGCCAGGCGCUUGAAGAGGGGCCCGCGUCUGAUUAGCUAGUUGGUGGGGUAAUGGCUCACCAAGGCAACGAUCAGUAUCCGGCCUGAGAGGGCGGACGGACACACUGGGACUGAGACACGGCCCAGACUCCUACGGGAGGCAGCAGUGGGGAAUUGUUCGCAAUGGGCGCAAGCCUGACGACGCAACGCCGCGUGGAGGAUGAAGAUCUUCGGGUCGUAAACUCCUUUCGAUCGAGACGAAUGGCCUCCGGGUGAAUAAUCUGGAGGAGUGACGGUACCGAGAGAAGAAGCCCCGGCUAACUCCGUGCCAGCAGCCGCGGUAAUACGGGGGGGGGCAAGCGUUGUUCGGAAUUACUGGGCGUAAAGGGCUCGUAGGUGGCCAACUAAGUCAGACGUGAAAUCCCUCGGCUUAACCGGGGAACUGCAUCUGAUACUGGAUGGCUUGAGUUUGGGAGAGGGACGCGGAAUUCCAGGUGUAGCGGUGAAAUGCGUAGAUAUCUGGAGGAACACCGGUGGCGAAGGCGGCGUCCUGGACCAACACUGACACUGAUGAGCGAAAGCCAGGGGAGCAAACGGGAUUAGAUACCCCGGUAGUCCUGGCCCUAAACGAUGAAUGCUUGGUGUGGCGGGUAUCGAUCCCUGCCGUGCCGAAGCUAACGCAUUAAGCAU